Otolemur garnettii (small-eared galago) is the source of this 193-nucleotide unclassified non-coding RNA. Lineage: Eukaryota; Metazoa; Chordata; Mammalia; Primates; Galagidae. The record is from Ensembl.
GCAUAGUAUUACCAUCAGCAACACACCUUACCUUCGUUUUUUUCAUUCAGUACAUAGGUGGUAGAUGCUAGACUGCAGGAAUGAAUAAAACAUGAGUCUCAGGUGGUCUCUGUCCCUUCUUUCAUCCUAAUUCUAAAUUUAGUUGGUAACAUUUUGAAAGUACUGCAUAUAAUCAGUAUAAGUGAUGAUCGAA